UACGAAGGGGGCUAGCGUUGCUCGGAUUUACUGGGCGUAAAGGGCGCGUAGGCGGACAGUUAAGUUGGGGGUGAAAGCCCGGGGCUCAACCUCGGAACUGCCUUCAAUACUGGCUGUCUUGAGUACGGGAGAGGUGUGUGGAACUCCGAGUGUAGAGGUGAAAUUCGUAGAUAUUCGGAAGAACACCAGUGGCGAAGGCGACACACUGGCCCGUUACUGACGCUGAGGCGCGAAAGCGUGGGGAGCAAACAGG
Molecule: ribosomal RNA, 253 nt
Filed under: uncultured bacterium
Lineage: Bacteria
Description: partial 16S ribosomal RNA
Rfam family: Bacterial small subunit ribosomal RNA
Source: RNAcentral